CGCCUCUUGAAUCAGUAUAAGAGGUCCAGCCUGCCCAGUGACCCUGUUCAACGGCCGCGGUAUCCUAACCGUGCGAAGGUAGCGUAAUCACUUGUUCUUUAAAUGAGGACUAGUAUGAACGGCAUCACGAAGGUUAUACUGUCUCCUUUUUCUAAUCAGUGAAUCUAAUCUCCCCGUGAAGAAGCGGGAAUAUAACUAUAAGACGAGAAGACCCUAUGGAGCUUAAAACAACACAGCACUUGUCAAAAAACUAAACAAUUCCAGAAUUUUUAAUUUCUAGGCAACAUGACUAUAAGUUUUUGGUUGGGGUGACCGCGGAGUAUAAUAUAACCUCCAUGUUGAAAGAAUUUUAUUCUAAGCCAAAAAGUACAUUUUUAAGCAUCAAUAAAUUGACAUCUAUUGACCCAAUAUAAUUGAACAACGAACCAAGUUACCCUAGGGAUAACAGCGCAAUCCACUUCAAGAGCUCCUAUCGACAAGUGGGUUUACGACCUCGAUGUUGGAUCAGGGUUUCCCAGUGGUGCAGCCGCUACUAAAGGUUCGUUUGUUCAACGAUUAAAACCCU
This 565-nucleotide ribosomal RNA is filed under the name Peltophryne fustiger. RNAcentral describes it as "partial 16S ribosomal RNA". It matches the Rfam family "Bacterial large subunit ribosomal RNA", at positions 1832 to 2597 of the family's 2925-position model. Lineage: Eukaryota; Metazoa; Chordata; Amphibia; Anura; Bufonidae. The record is from RNAcentral.